RNAcentral lists this ribosomal RNA (430 nucleotides) under uncultured bacterium. RNAcentral describes it as "partial 16S ribosomal RNA". It matches the Rfam family "Bacterial small subunit ribosomal RNA", at positions 355 to 777 of the family's 1533-position model. The record is from RNAcentral.
UAGGGAAUCUUCCACAAUGGACGCAAGUCUGAUGGAGCAACGCCGCGUGAGUGAAGAAGGUUUUCGGACCGUAAAGCUCUGUUGUUGGUGAAGAAGGAUAGAGGUAGUAACUGGCCUUUAUUUGACGGUAAUCAACCAGAAAGUCACGGCUAACUACGUGCCAGCAGCCGCGGUAAUACGUAGGUGGCAAGCGUUGUCCGGAUUUAUUGGGCGUAAAGCGAGCGCAGGCGGAAGAAUAAGUCUGAUGUGAAAGCCCUCGGCUUAACCGAGGAAUUGCAUCGGAAACUGUUUUUCUUGAGUGCAGAAGAGGAGAGUAGAACUCCAUGUGUAGCGGUGGAAUGCGUAGAUAUAUGGAAGAAUACCAGUGGCGAAGGCGGCUCUCUGGUCUGCAACUGACGCUGAGGCUCGAAAGCAUGGGUAGCGAACAGGA